CACGUAGGGCGCAAGCGUUGUCCGGAAUUAUUGGGCGUAAAGGGCUCGUAGGCGGUUUGUCGCGUCGGGAGUGAAAUCCACUGGCUUAACUGGUGGCUUGCUUUCGAUACGGGCAGACUGGAGGUAUGCAGGGGAGAACGGAAUUCCUGGUGUAGCGGUGAAAUGCGCAGAUAUCAGGAGGAACACCGGUGGCGAAGGCGGUUCUCUGGGCAACAACUGACGCUGAGGAGCGAAAGCGUGGGGAGCGAACAGG
This 253-nucleotide ribosomal RNA is filed under the name uncultured bacterium. Its description in RNAcentral is "partial 16S ribosomal RNA". It matches the Rfam family "Bacterial small subunit ribosomal RNA", at positions 524 to 776 of the family's 1533-position model. The record is from RNAcentral.